GGGGGUGCCAAGGUUUCGACGGGGAUUGGAAGCGAAGGUGGCAUGCCGGAGUGGGCUGGCUCCGUAAAAAAGCCCAACACUAAUAAACGCCGAUACUGACGUUAAUUACGCAUUAGCAGCUUAAUGCUGCUACGUCCUGAUCAUCAUUGCCUGUGUGGUGCCCGGGACGUUAAUUGAAGCGGGCUAGUUCCAGGGAGUGUCUGUGGCCCUGGGGCGAAAUUUAGCAGACUCGCCCUUUGAAAAUCCUGUCUGUGGGAGUUUCCCGGGGUUAAUUAAAACAUAGACUAAGCAUGUAGAGGCCUUACGUGAAAGGUUUUCGGACGCGGGUUCGAUUCCCGCCACCUCCACCA
Molecule: transfer-messenger RNA, 350 nt
Filed under: Desulfuromonadales bacterium
Lineage: Bacteria; Pseudomonadati; Thermodesulfobacteriota; Desulfuromonadia; Desulfuromonadales
Rfam family: transfer-messenger RNA
About the family: Bacterial tmRNA, also known as 10Sa RNA or SsrA, is named for its dual tRNA and mRNA-like properties. Its role is to liberate the mRNA from a stalled ribosome. To accomplish this part of the tmRNA is used as a reading frame that ends in a translation stop signal.
Source: RNAcentral